This 825-nucleotide ribosomal RNA is filed under the name uncultured bacterium. Its description in RNAcentral is "bacterial SSU rRNA". It matches the Rfam family "Bacterial small subunit ribosomal RNA", at positions 91 to 916 of the family's 1533-position model. The record is from RNAcentral.
GAGAGUGACGUACGGGUGCGUAACACGUAUGCAACCUACCCUUAACAGGCGGAUAAGCUUCGGGGAAACUCGAAUUAACCCGUCAUAAUAUAAUUGGAUGGCAUCAUUUGAUUAUUAAAACUCCGGUGGUAAAGGAUGAGCAUGCGUCUGAUUAGUUAGUUGGCGGGGUAACGGCCCACCAAGACGAUGAUCAGUAGGGGAACUGAGAGGUUGAUCCCCCACACUGGCACUGAGAUACGGGCCAGACUCCUACGGGAGGCAGCAGUAGGGAAUAUUGGUCAAUGGAUGCAAGUAUGAACCAGCCAUGCCGCGUGCAGGAAGAAGGCCUUAUGGGUUGUAAACUGCUUUUGCCAGGGGAUAAAAUUUCCUUGCGAGGAACAUUGAAGGUACCUGGUGAAUAAGCCACGGCUAACUACGUGCCAGCAGCCGCGGUAAUACGUAGGUGGCAAGCGUUGUCCGGAUUUAUUGGGUUUAAAGGGUGCGUAGGCGGCCCUGUAAGUCAGUGGUGAAAUACUCUAGCUUAACUAGAGGGGUGCCAUUGAUACUGCAGGGCUUGAGUGGAGUCGAAGUAGGCGGAAUUGACGGUGUAGCGGUGAAAUGCUUAGAUAUCGUCAAGAACACCGAUAGUGAAGACAGUUUAAUAGGCUUCUACUGACGCUGAGGCACGAAAGUGUGGGGAUCAAACAGGAUUAGAUACCCUGGUAGUCCACACUGUAAACGUUGAUUACUCGCUGUUGGCGAUACACAGCCAGCGGCCAAGCGCAAGCGAUAAGUAAUCCACCUGGGGAGUACGCCGGCAACGGUGAAACUCAAAAGAAUUGACGG